UCGGAAGGGAUAAGCGCUGAAAGCAUCUAAGCGCCAAGCCCAUCCCAAGAUAAGAUCACAAUCCCUCGCAAGAGGGUGAAAGGUCCGGGGAGACCACCCGGUUGAUAGGCCAGAAAUGUAAUCGGGGUAACCCGUUGAGUUUACUGGUACUAAUGACCUUUCCGGUUUAUGCA
This 173-nucleotide ribosomal RNA is filed under the name Terriglobia bacterium. RNAcentral describes it as "partial 23S ribosomal RNA". It matches the Rfam family "Bacterial large subunit ribosomal RNA", at positions 2755 to 2925 of the family's 2925-position model. The record is from RNAcentral. Lineage: Bacteria; Pseudomonadati; Acidobacteriota; Terriglobia.